CACUAAUAGGAGGGAUUUGAAUAGACCACGCCUUCAACGAAGGAGGAGUCCACUACAUAUUGAAUUUAUCGAUCGAUUGUUAGGCCCAUUUCGAUCGCUACUGUACAGUCAAUGGCGGCAUUGGACCUUGGAUGCAUGUGCGACUUGAUGUGGCUUUGCAUGUGGGAGGCCCCAUUGUAAUGUUCGCAGACUGGUCAUUUGGUGAUACGUGUGAACAGUGGUAGUGCUUGGGUGCCUCAAGAGGGAAUCGCAGAACAUAGCCAUAGAGUAGUAUGUCCUUCGACAAUCUGUUAUGCAUAGAGCAGAUGCAGAGAUAUUUCAAAAGGGUUUCGCUGUUUUCAGUUCACAAUCGUAAUGGAUUCGAAGAGGAUAUUGAUGGAGUUUUGGUAUACAAAAAGUAUAAGUACAUGUUCCUUGGAAGGGUAACCGACGAGUUCCGAAUCCUUAUACUAUCGUACAUGUUAUGUGCGUGUAAAACUAAAGUCUAAAAGAAGAAGAAUGAUUCAAAAAUUGCGGUAGAGAAUCAUCAAAGAAUUAUACUCGUUUAGUUGUUUUUACUGUGCAUGGGAAUUUUUUGGUCGAGCGUAAUGGGUGUCUUAAAGGCACUGAAGGUUGCAUUAGAUCCCCAACAAAAAGGGAACGCUGAAAAUCCCAGGGGGCGAUGGUAAUUAGUGGCAAUGUUACUGUGUAGGUAACUUCAGAAAGUGUGACGCUAGCUGAUGUAAACCGCACCAGCUGUGCUAUUACCUAGUCCGUCUCAUUUUGCCGCCUAGGUUGUGAAAGUAGCAGAAGAAGAGGAAAUAGCAGUAAACUGGUUUUGAAAGAAGCCAAACAUUCCGAUGAUAUGGGAGCUCAGCCUGUGGAAACAAAAACCCUAUGUUUCAGAUAGAAAGACGAAAUGAACACAGCGUUCCUCAGCUACAUCUGAGGACUACUGUCACCGAAAGAAAAUCACCUCGCUUAUAGACUCGGAAGGUAAAAGCGAGACCCAAAAAUUUGCAACAACGAAGCAAUUACAGACGACCAUUUGUAAAUGCGUCACAACAUGCCCAUAAAAAUUCUACGGAGUUAGUUAUUUCUCCUCUAGAUGUCUUGAAAAUAUACGGGAAAUGUCAGGCUGUCAGCUGACCCGUCGGCUGUUCCAUUUCGCGUGGCUUCGGGCUGAGGAUGGCUGCUGAAACGAACGUCUCUCUUUUUGAAAUUUUACCAGCGAUUCCGUGUGUUUUCAGUUGCAUCUUGUGAAUUCCAUCAAUGCAGAGUUGUUCAAGGAGAAACAUGGCUUGGCUUUGCUAUCACGUUUUUCAUCUCCGUUAGUUUGAUAUGCCCAUUUUGUUUCAAAGGUCUUUGGGAUGUACCUGAUGUACUGUGGUGGCUGCAAAAUCAUUCAAUGACUUGGUUCAAUCUAGGUCUUGGUUUUUUUCAAUAGUGGUUUACAGUUAAAAUUUGCAGAGAUCCUGGAGGCACCUGAUGUGUUUCGUUGGCGUUGGAGUCACUCGGUGGCAGAAGAGAAUGCCACUAAUGUUAUGUUGUCAGUGUAAAUAAAACAUAUCCAGUAUCA
Long non-coding RNA from Daphnia magna, 1558 nucleotides. RefSeq lists it as uncharacterized. The transcript has 11 exons. Lineage: Eukaryota; Metazoa; Arthropoda; Branchiopoda; Diplostraca; Daphniidae. The record is from RefSeq and is a predicted model, not a curated record.